CCCACCUCAAAAACCAAAACCCACAAAAAUUGGCACUCUCCCCAAAACUUAUUGCAAUAUGCAAGGCAAAUAGGAAGAGAGAUGGGGCACGAAGUUUGGGAGAAGGAGAAGGGCAUUCUGAGUACUGAGAGUUUAACCAAAUUAAUAGCACUAUUAUCGAGGUUAGGGAAAGGGAAGGCGGCAUUUGAUGUGUUCAAUAAGUUUGGAGAGUUUGGAUCUCCCACAAACUGAUAAAGAAAUACCUACGAAAAUUGAUAGAGAAACUGAUAGGGAAGCUUUUUCCUUGGCUUUAGAGAUGCUUAAGGAUUAUACAAAAGAAGAUCGGAUGUAUGCAGUUAAGCCUUUCUCGAGUGUCAAUCAGAAAUUGUGUUGGAUUGAAGACGUUGAAAGGACAAAAACUUUGCUCCUCC
Molecule: long non-coding RNA, 410 nt
Filed under: Olea europaea subsp. europaea
Lineage: Eukaryota; Viridiplantae; Streptophyta; Magnoliopsida; Lamiales; Oleaceae
Source: RNAcentral